RNAcentral lists this non-coding RNA (158 nucleotides) under human gut metagenome. The record is from RNAcentral.
UGGGUGCGGCAAACAGCCGCUUGAAAGGGAAGACCCGGUGAGAAUCCGGCACAGGCUUACCCCUACUGUAUGUACGGACGACGAGCAACAGGCCAUUGCCAUCUGGCGAGAAGGCGCUCAAAGGAGGAUGUACGAGUCAGGAGACCUGCCCAAACACC